CAAGCAAAUCCCAUAAAGUUGUUCUCAGUUCGGAUUGUAGUCUGCAACUCGACUACAUGAAGCUGGAAUCGCUAGUAAUCGUAGAUCAGCAUGCUACGGUGAAUACGUUCCCGGGUCUUGUACACACCGCCCGUCACACCACGAGAGUUUGUAACACCCGAAGCCGGUGGAGUAACCAUUUGGAGCUAGCCGUCGAAGGUGGGACAAAUGAUUGGGGUGAAGUCGUAACAAGGUAGCCGUAUCGGAAGGUGCGGCUGGAUCACCUCCUUUCUAAGGA
Molecule: ribosomal RNA, 277 nt
Filed under: Staphylococcus chromogenes
Lineage: Bacteria; Bacillati; Bacillota; Bacilli; Caryophanales; Staphylococcaceae
Description: partial 16S ribosomal RNA
Rfam family: Bacterial small subunit ribosomal RNA
Source: RNAcentral